UACCCGAUAAAACAAAAACGAAAACGGAUGUUCUUCCUAAAAGUAACAUUAACGAAAUUAUAAGCAGUCAAUGGAAAUACAUGGAAUCCAACAUCCUAGCUGACUUUGCUGCAAUUUUUCAUACAGACUAUGAAAACAGUACUAGCGUUCUUUAAUUCUUUAAAACGUUGUAGUGUUGUAACAAAUUACUUUUCAUCAACUAUAUUGAGUAUAUGUACAAAAAUAAAUGAAUGAAGGUUAGAAUGGAAAACUGAUGAAGAUCAAGGUUAUAAUUAUGAUCUACAUAUUGAUCAAUUUGAAGCAGAUUUUGUUCUAAAGAGGGAAAUAAAUAAACAGCGUGUUUUAUAAGGAUGUUCAAUUAUUAACACAACAACAAAAAUAUUCAUUAUAUGAGAGAUAAAUGGAAAUAAGUGUAAAUAAAGACACUUUAUUUUCUUUUUCUAUUCACACUUUUUAGUAAGUAGCUAUAGAUAGACUUAAUAUUUUUUAAACCCUCUUUCCAAAUUAUUUGCAAUCUUUUAUAAUCUUGUUCAAUUUGGUCGUCCUGAGAUAUUGGUUAAUGUAUCUAGUGCUGGCAGUUUUUGUUGUUGUUUGUUUUACUUUCAAGAUACAUGAUCCUAGAAUAGGCAAUGGAUACCGUUUGUAUGCAGAUAAAACUGGUUUAUCCCUGUCAC
Long non-coding RNA from Mytilus californianus (California mussel), 674 nucleotides. RefSeq lists it as uncharacterized. The transcript has 3 exons. NCBI's taxonomy places the organism in Eukaryota, Metazoa, Mollusca, Bivalvia, Mytilida, Mytilidae. The record is from RefSeq and is a predicted model, not a curated record.